AACUUUCGACAACGGAUCACUUGGCUCUCGCAUCGAUGAAGAACGCAGCGAAAUGCGAUAAGUAAUGUGAAUUGCAUAAUUCAGUGAAUCAUCGAAUCUUUGAACGCACCUUGCGCCCUUUGGCUAUUCCGAAGGGCAUGCCUGUUUGAGUAUCAUGAACACCUCAACUCUCAUGGCUUGCCAUGAUGAGCUUGGACUCUGGUGGACUAGCUGGCACAUGCUCAGAUACUCUUCAAUGAAUCAGUCAUUCAGUGUGUGAACACAGCACAGAUGUGAUACCUAUCUACUCUUGUGAUGUCCUCCUAGGUAACCUUCAGUGAUGGAGGUCGCAUGAUGUAGUAAAAUAUCAUCCCUCAUUCUAGACAUGGCUUUUUAGAUAUUUUAACUCAAAAAAGGUAUGACUACCCGCUGAACUUAAGCAUAUCAAUAAGCGGAGGCU
Molecule: unclassified non-coding RNA, 439 nt
Filed under: uncultured Thelephoraceae
Lineage: Eukaryota; Fungi; Basidiomycota; Agaricomycetes; Thelephorales; Thelephoraceae
Description: sequence contains ITS2
Rfam family: 5.8S ribosomal RNA (bases 1-155)
Source: RNAcentral